Mytilus trossulus (common blue mussel) is the source of this 922-nucleotide long non-coding RNA. RefSeq lists it as uncharacterized. The record is from RefSeq and is a predicted model, not a curated record. Lineage: Eukaryota; Metazoa; Mollusca; Bivalvia; Mytilida; Mytilidae. The transcript has 2 exons.
CUUUAUAAAAACCGGACUGGUUAUGAAAAACGCCAUUUAUUUCUGUAAAUAGUAUGACAGAGAAACACACGAAUAAAAGCUAACAAAAAGGUACAAGGUUUAUAAUCUAAUACGGCAGAGGUGCGUUUCUUCCACAUAAGACUAACCAGUGAUGCUCAGAUGAUAAAGGUUCAAAAGCCAAAACAAGUACGAAGUUGAAAGCACUAAGGACCAAAAGUUUCAUGUGUAAAUCUCUCUCAACUGAUGUGAUACUCCAGAAGUUUAAUUGUCACGUAUUGAGUCAGACACUUUGGUUUCAUAAAGAAGACAGACCUUGUGGGGAUGAUUCAUUAUAUAACUGGAUUAUUACAAGAAUACCGGCUCACUGAAGAAUCAUGUGUAAAAACUAAAAUUAUAUUAUGUAGUGUAAAAAAUUGUUUUACUGACACUAGUUCUAUUAGUUGAUAAUCAGUUCCUUUUAUACAAUUCAACCUGUCCAGUUUCAAGUUUUAUAUUGACAAGAUUGAAUUUUUUAUGUCUAUUAAUUUCAGAUCUUUCAAAUAGUGUAUUUGUAUUGAAUCGGAAGUUAACUCUCUAGGUUCAGACUGACAUUAUAUGUUUAAACACGUUUCAUCUAUGUCCUUUAGAAUUUUAGUUCCUGGUUUCAAAUUUGGAUUUUCAAACCUCUUGGUCUGGAACUAUAAUUGUUAGUAUGUUGCACUUUUGUGAAUAUAAACAAAUUGAAACACAACUAUACAGAUCACAUUUUAUUUGAGAUUUGACAAUGAACUUAUAUUAGACAACAAUAUGAUCUGGGAGGGUCCCUUUCAUAACAUUUCAUAAUUAAAUUUGCAAACAUAGGUCUAAUAGUAUCAUACUGAGAGGCUAUUAAAUCUAUUAUAACUGCUCAUCCAAGUAUAAUAAGCUUUAUAGAAGAUAGCAA